UCUUAUGUUCUUAUGAGAGGCCGAGGCCGCGCCGCCGCCUCUUCGCCCGCCUCUCCCAGCAGCCCCUCCGGACGCGGCGCCGUCCGCCUUCCCUCUCCCGGGGAGCGCGGCCGCCGCUUUGGGCACUCAGGCGCCUCGGGCUGCCCGGCGGGACCUGGAGCGAUGCUGCGCAGGCGAUGUCCGCGGAACACGAGAAAGACCCCGCCGCGGCGGCGGCGCUCAAGAGACCCAGAGGUGGUGAUGGUGGAUUGGAUGGGUUAGGAGGCCCAGGAGUGCAACUUGGAAGUCCAGAUAAGAAAAAGCGCAAGUCGAAUGCUCAGGGGUCAUCCUUUCCUCCACCAUCUGAAUACGCUCCACCACCAAAUCCAAGCUCCGAUCACCUUGUAGCUGCAAAUCCGUUUGACGAUAACUACAGUGCUAUUUCUUACAAGCCACUGCCUUCGGGAAACCCGUAUUUUGCAAAUCCAAGCUACCCCGGCUUUGGAGGCUACAACACUUUCAGAAUGCCACCGCAUAUGCUUCCCAGAAUGUCCUCGCCAUAUGGUGCUGCUUAUCCACUCAGAAGCCAGCCACAUCCAUUUCCUCAGAAUCCAGUGGGAAUGGUCUUCAACCGGCCUCAAGCGAUUAACUUUGGGCCACAUGAAAAUGCAGCUUUUGGAAACCAACCACCAUAUAACAGUAACUUGAAUCAAAAUAUCAGUAUGGCCAGCCAACACUUCAGGCCAAACCCUGGUGAGAAUUUUGGUCAUAUUCCUGCACAGAACACAACGCAAAUGUCACCCCAUGAUAUGCCGUUACACUUCGGACCUGGCAGCAACACAAAUUUUAACAAUUCCCAGAUGGAAUCAAACAAUUCUUAUGUUCCUUUGCCAAACAAUUACAACCAGACAAAGCCUUCACAAAAGCAAAGUGCCAGUAAGCACAAUCCCCUGCCACAUCAUCAUCCAAAUGGUCUAGAGGACAUUGUGAACUCAGGAAACACUGACAUAAAAACUGUGAAUCGAAAUGUCCCAGCAAACCAAGAGAGCAUCCCUUCUAAAAACGUUGAAAAUCUGAACAGCAAUCAUGCAAAUGGGGCUCCGAACAAACCCCGCUUACCCCGUGGUCCAGCCGAAGGGGGCGGCUCUGAGAAGGGCAGCAAAAUAGCUCUGCAGCAAGGCCACACGUCCACUGAACCCGUCUAUCCUUGUGGGAUUUGUACCCAUGAGGUGAACGAUGACCAGGAUGCCAUCUUGUGUGAAGCUUCUUGUCAAAAAUGGUUUCAUCGGAUCUGCACAGGCAUGACAGAGUCAGCAUAUGGAUUGCUCACCGCAGAAGCAUCAGCUGUAUGGGGCUGUGACACUUGUAUGGCUGACAAGGAUGUUCAGCUGAUGCGCACCAGAGAAACGGUUGGGCUGCCAGUGUUGAAUGCUGAUGCAUGAGAACCACCCUGGUUUCUCCACUCGGAUGACAGCCAUUCAUACAUUUCCUUUUUCAGUUGUGCGUGGUCUUCAUUUGUUGCAUCUUCACCAGUUGGUCCUUGUAUUCCUUUUCUGCCCAAGUGCUUUAAAAUUUCACUAGAAGAAAAUGCUUGACUGAUUGAGUCUGGUUUUACCCACAUGGGAAGUUACUGGAUAUGUAAAAGUCUCCUUUGUGGAUCAGGUUGCCCAUGACUGUUCAGCCUGACAGUGAACACAUUGGUGGACUGUGAAGGACCGUCAUAAUGAACGUGUCAAUUGUUAAUGAAUUCUGAAGACUUACUCAGUAGAUAUCUGUAGAGUGAUCUUUAGCAGCCAGCUUCCAAACACAUUCACUCAGUAGAAAGUCUCAUAAUUCCAGUGGCAAAGUAAGCCUUGAUGAGGCUAAGUGCCUAAAACCACAAGCCUCAAUGCUUUUUCUUCCCUGUCUUGUUUUUUUUAAGGAGAGGUUUGUAUUCCUAUGACACACGCACACCCACCCUUUCCAGCACCCAUCAUGCCUUGUCAGGGCAGGUCCUCUGCAGUGGCAUUGCAGCACCAUGAAGUGUAAUGUGGCCCCAGUGACAGAUGCCUUGGAAGUGCAUCGUGUGGUCCACGCUCUUUUGACUUUUUUUUUUUUUUUUGGUGAUGAACGUAACCCAGAGAAAUUUGUUGGAAUGGUUAACUUGUUAAGUCCCACUGUGUUCAAAUGGUCUUGACUUAUUAAGCAUGCUACAUUUUCUCUGGCGUGCGUGACAUGUGCUCAGGAUUGUGCUUUCAGACUUUGCUUCCACAUGGACUUACUGCAAUGUCUGUUCCACAGAAUUUACCGAUGCACAUGGACAGAAACGGGAUUAGCUUCCGUAGCCUUCCCACCUCCACCUGUAGCACUUGUAGCCCUCCCUCUCCCUCCCCCAGCCUCAACUAGUUUGCCAGUUUUGCUUUGUUUCUGUCUCGUUUUAGUGUGUUUCGGCGUCCACUUGGGGGCUCUUUGCCAAGUGUACUUUCUCUUGCCGCUCGUGCAGAGCAUCAUUCCUUGCUCUGCUUCUUCCAUGGGAAUGUCUCCUCAGCUCUGUUGCUGCUUUUGUUUUCAGUCUGGCUGUGCUCUUGAGAAUGGCUUGGGAGGGUUUUAUGUCUCCCUCUUGGGAAGGGGAGAUCCUUUCCAACAUUUUUCUUUCCCCCAAUGUAACUGCCUUUGGGGAUUUGAUAGAGUAUGUAAGAUGCAGAGGCCAGAGUGCUGGGUGGAAAUGAAGAGCCAAGUUUCUCAGCUCUUAACAGCUGAAGCCAGUCUGGAAAAAAACUUAGGCCAGAGUUUUUCUUUGUUACUACAAGUCUUUGUGACUUCCAAGGAAAUCCCAGGCUGUUUUGUGGCUUAACUUGCAGGGUUGCUCUGAGACGAGAACUGCAAAGCACUUGGGAUUCUGAAUAAUGUUGGAGGAAUGAGCAACUGCCACAAGUGUUGACUGCCAGUGGGAACCCCAAUGUUUUAGCCUCAUUGUUUUUCCUAAGUAAGGUGGCUACCAAGGAUAGAACCCAUACAGGUGGUCUGAGAGCCCCCAGUGAUUCUGUAGGUUAUAAACAGGCAAAGCUGGACAUGCUCUUUUGGCAUUUUUUAUUUGCAUUAUAAUCCCACAGGUUCUUUAUUUCUUUAUCUUACCAUUUAACAUUGAAGCCCAUCUAGAAAUGCAUUUUGUUACUGACAGUCACAUCUAGAGAAGGAAUUGUCUCUUAAUAGUCAGUACUUUAUGGGUUGUACCUAUGCACACUUCCAUCCUUCUUCAGCCCUGGGCUAACCUCUUGAUUAGUUCACAGAAUUGUAGACUAGAAAAUUUGGAAGGGGACCUGUAAGGCCAUCAAGUCCAACCCCCUGGUAGAUGCAGGAAUCCAAAUUAAAGCAUGCCCAACAGGUGGCUGUACAGCUGCCUCUUGAAUGCCUCUGGGGUUGGAGAGCCCACCACCUCCCUAGGCAAUGGGUUCCAUUGUUGUACUGCCAUUAAGGAGUUAGGAAGUUUUUUCCUUAUGUUCAGCCGAAAUCUGGCUUCUUGUAACUUAAGCCCAUUAUUCCAUGUCCUGCAUUCUGGGAUGACUGAGAAGAGAUCCUGGCCCUCCUCUGUGUAGCAGCCUUUGAAAUACUUGAAGAGUGCUAUCAUAUUGCCCCUCAGUCUUUUCUUCUCAAGGCUAAACAUGCCCAGUUCUUUCACUCUCAUUUCAUAGGGCUUUGUUUCUAGUCCCCUGAUCAUCCUCAUUUGCCCUCCUCUGAACUUGUUCUAGAUAGCAUGUAGUUGAGUCUAAUCUCAUAUUUGUGACCUAAUAAAGCCUUUCUCCCAACCUGUAUUGCAGCCAUGGGCUUGUCAUUCUAGGGGAAGCUCCUGGUGGAUUAGCUGUGGACUCUGUCCUGAUCUAAAACAAAUGAGAUUUUGAAGGAAGUGUUAUUCUAGAACAAGCAGUUGUAUAAAUGAGCUCUUAAGAUCUCAGUGGGAGUUUGAAUGAUGGCUUUCUCCCCCGCCUACUCAUUUGUAGAGAUUCAGAGUUAUCAAGCUGAAUGCCCCUUCAUGGACCCCCUCAAAAAAACAUUCUGUCUUGUUAGCCAAAAUUGAGAUGCAAGAGGGGUUUGCUUACUCUGAGCUUUUCCUCACUUUACAGAUAGGUGCAUUUGUGCUUAUGUGCUAGCACACCUGGAGUACUCCACCAAAUUAACUACAUAUGUAUAAUCCACCAUCAUUGAUGCUGCUGCUGUGAUCUCAAGAGCAGCCCCUCGGGAACCCUAGUAGAGAAGCACCUGGCUUGCACUUCUCUUCAUGUUAGCCUUUGUAUCCUGUGCAUAAUGCCCAUUGUAUGGAAGGUGAAGAUGUGACUAUUGGGGAAGGCUGUUUUUCUCUGCAGUAAUGUGGAAACUGCCCCAACAGCUGGAAAAAUGUUCAGAGUAAAGAAUAUUUGAGGAGCUUGAGAUGCUUAUGAGUUUGAGGUUUUGCUGGAGAAAUGGGCUUGCAGUGGCUCUGGUUUAGGGAUGGGUUUGCUAUCUGAUUCUGUUCUGUUUUUAAGUUUGUUGAAUGGGCUGCCAGUUGCUAUUCGCUAUAAAUUGUGUUCUGCUAGUUAUCAUGAUUCCUGGUUCUCCCUUUUUCCUGUUAUUUUUUCUGAAAAAGUACAUAAUUUUCUCAGUUAUCCCUUACGUUGCUGUAUAUUUAUAUAAUGUAUACAGCAGCAGCAGAUUACAAAAAUAAUUACGUCAUUCUCGCCAGAGAUUUUUUAAAAAAAUUACAGUGUGGCUAACAGCUGCGAACACACGCAAAGAAUAGGAGCCUGUUCAAUGAUGAGACAAAUUUGCAGAUUAUCCCAGAAUUCAAUACCAAAUCUAAUUCUGUGAGUAUUCUACACUAUCCCUAUUCUGGUCACAAUUAUGGCCUUGGAUUCUAGAAUCGGAGAAAGAGAUCUCAAAGCUAAAGUGGCUUAGCUGGGACUACAACUAGACUCAAAUAUCCUUUGUCAACACUGUGCCUUAUUCUGUGGCCUCUGGAUUGGUUUCUUCAAGGUGACAAGUGUAAAUAAUGGAGUUGGGGCAUUUGGAGUAGCUGGGUUGCUAACCUCUGUGGAAGCCACAUUUCAUUCGCCAUGUUGCUUUGCAGUCUGCUGGAGCCGUUCCAAAGUGCUCAUGCCUGCCAGGAACGUUGCUGUAUUUAGAGAGAACAUCUAUAUUGCUCAGCGCUCCUCAGACAAACUGCACUUCCAUGACAUCAGCUAAGAAGCUUCACGUAAUGCAAAGGGAUGGAUGAGCGGACUUGCCUCUUAAUCCCUUAGUUCUUUGAAGUGGAAUAGGUCAUGCCCUCUCAAAGGCUUCAUGAGAUAAACUCCCCAUUCCGGUGGUAAUUUUAGUUCUUUGUGCCAAAUUCACCUCACAGAAAAGCCCUCCAAAUUACCUUCUAAGAUAUAUAACGAGAACUAUACAAGAUGGCCCUGGGUUCCAGUUUGCCUUCCUCUGUAAUGUGUGGCUAAGGGUUGGCUGGCUGUUUGUCAGGCCUCUUGUAUAUAUGGCUGCCUCUUGUUAGCUCCUGUUCUGCCCGUGGCCAAUAAUGGCUUUGAAUUACAUGGAUUAACCUACCUUCAAGUGAUAGAAUUCUGUUGCCCAGAUCUGGCAAGGCAUGGUUUCACACAGAAACAGAUUCCGCCUGCUAAGCAUUGCUGUCCCCACGUGGCCAAAAGGGAAACCCCUAAAAUCUAGAAGCCUGGGUUGCACCUAUAGGUCUGCCUCUGACCCAGCAGGCCCGUUGCCAUCACUUGCACUCCUCUCCUCUGAGGAGGGAGAAUUUGUUCUAGACACUCAGUCUCCUCUCCCAUCUAUCUUUUGGCAGUGGACCAGGGGAGGGGGCAACACACUCCUAGAUUGGGGUGCAUGAGACUAAAUUUAGCCAUACAGAUAACCCUCUUGAAGUCCCUUAAUAAAGUAUCUUAACUACUUGUGGGAUUAUAUGUCACCCUUAUAAGGAAAAACCCCCAAUGUUUUUUGUUUUGAGAUUUCUUUUUAACCCAGUCAGCAGUCUUGAAAUUCGCUGUUUUUCAUUUGCCUUUUCAAUCUAAUAGUAAGAAUACUGCUUCAUGUUUAAAAUACAUGUACCCCUCACUUUAUAUAUAAAUAUAGCCUUGCUUGCUAGUAAAAGUACGUGUAACAUUUAAUACAUAGUUGACCAUAUGUCUUUUUAUGUUCUAUGUAACUUAAUGACUGUUUCAUAUUAAAACUAGUCUUUCCUUAUGUACUGCUCACAUAUACCUGUUUUUGGGAUAUCAGUUCAGUACUUUUAUACGAUUUCAAAUGUGUUCCACAUUGGUGACAUUUAUUUUUGCAACAACUUUAAAUAAAAAUGAAAUUAGAGCAUGUCUGAAAUAACACAUGCAUUAGAACUGUGGUGUGCGACAAAGUUGAUGUAUGUAAUUCAAAUUGGAAACAAGCACCCAGACUUUGUCCAUUAUUAUUCCUUUAGUACAGCCUUCCCCAACCUGAUGCCCUCUAGAUGUUGCUGGACUUCCCAACUCCCAUCAUCAUUUGUGAUAAUUGUUUGUGCUGGCUGGGGCUAAUGUGAGUUGUAGUCUGGAGGGUUACUAGGUUGGGGAAGGCUGUUUUAGUAAGAAAUUAAAUUACUAUGUAAUGCAAACAAUUUCAUAUCAUGGUGUGUGUUAAGCUACUCUAUGAAGUAUAGGAACCAUGUUUAUGUCUUUGAAUAGCUGGUCUUACAUUACAAGCUGAGUCCUAGUAGAUAAUAGUGAAUCAACUGGUGUGAUGUCUUAAGGUACACGGAAUUUGUGUCCAAUGUAAGUGGUUAAAUGUUUCAAUGUGCGAUGCUGAAAAAUGGGUGCCCGUUUGAUUGCAUUUAUCAAAUGACAAUCUUAUGUUUAUUUAAAAAUGUAAUAAUUCUUCAAGACAUUCAUCUUAAAAAAAAAAGUGAGGGCACAGAAAUAGAAUUUUAAUUCACUGCUGCAAUUGUUAAUAUUUCAGUUUGCUUUUUAAAAAGUUGAAGCUGGACAGAAUUAAGUGCUUGCAAAGUGAAUAUUAAUAAAGUCUUGUCAAGGUAACAAAGAAGAACGGAAUGUGUUCUGUUUGUGUAAGGAGUACUGAAUAAUCUUUGUGUACUU
Molecule: RNA transcript, 7058 nt
Organism: Rhineura floridana
Lineage: Eukaryota; Metazoa; Chordata; Lepidosauria; Squamata; Rhineuridae
Gene: PYGO1
Gene name: pygopus family PHD finger 1
Exons: 4
Source: RefSeq, a predicted model, not a curated record